Molecule: transfer RNA, 69 nt
Filed under: Marmota marmota marmota (Alpine marmot)
Lineage: Eukaryota; Metazoa; Chordata; Mammalia; Rodentia; Sciuridae
Also listed under: 1 other name
Rfam family: tRNA
About the family: Transfer RNA (tRNA) molecules are approximately 80 nucleotides in length. Their secondary structure includes four short double-helical elements and three loops (D, anti-codon, and T loops).
Source: Rfam by way of RNAcentral
GGUGGUAUAGCUCAGUGGUAGAGAGUAUGCUUUGCAUGUAUAAGGCCCUGGGUUAGAUCCCUUGCACCA